CUCAGUAACAGCUGCAAUGCAGUAGGAGAUACAGAUACAGGAUAUGAUAUGGAAAGGAUGUUUCAAUAGCUGCCAGCUUAGUUUAUUCAGUCCAGGUGCUGAGAACCAGUUGGAUCUUUCUGCGUCUUCCCAGGGGAGUUAGCAUUUGAAGACCUCACACCAAAGCCCUGAAUGCUUCAACAAAAGAAACCUUGGAGAGGAACAUAUUUUACCUACACAGAAAGACUGAACACUGCUGAAGGUGGAUCUUGUCUCCCAGAUGACUUUCUGAAAGCUACAUGUCGUUGCAAUUCAGGAACUCUAUCCAGGAUUACAGCCAUUAGUUUCUAGAUGCCAGCUGAAAG
Molecule: long non-coding RNA, 344 nt
Filed under: Cyanistes caeruleus (blue tit)
Lineage: Eukaryota; Metazoa; Chordata; Aves; Passeriformes; Paridae
Description: lncRNA (ENSCCEG00000010550.1)
Source: RNAcentral